This 392-nucleotide unclassified non-coding RNA is filed under the name soil metagenome. RNAcentral's name for it is "partial contains 5.8S ribosomal RNA, internal transcribed spacer 2, and large subunit ribosomal RNA". The stretch from base 1 to 122 matches the Rfam family "5.8S ribosomal RNA", at positions 35 to 154 of the family's 154-position model. The record is from RNAcentral.
GAUGAAGAACGUAGCGAAAUGCGAUACUUGGUGUGAAUUGCAGAAUCCCGUGAACCAUCGAGUCUUUGAACGCAAGUUGCGCCCGAAGCCAUUAGGCCGAGGGCACGCCUGCCUGGGCGUCACACGUCGUUGCCCCCCCCAUCUACUCCUUCGGGAUUGCGGGGGGCGGAUGAUGGCCUCCCGUGCGCCUCGCCGCGCGGUUGGCAUAAAUGCCAAGUCCUCGGCGACGCACGCCACGACAAUCGGUGGUUGCGAAACCUCGGUUGCCCGUCGUGUGCGGUCGUCGCGCAUCGAGGGCUCGAAAAAAUUGCCGAGUUCCGGCCCGGCUUUCAACGCGACCCCAGGUCAGGCGGGGUUACCCGCUGAAUUUAAGCAUAUCAAUAAGCGGAGGA